This 378-nucleotide ribosomal RNA is filed under the name uncultured bacterium. Its description in RNAcentral is "bacterial SSU rRNA". It matches the Rfam family "Bacterial small subunit ribosomal RNA", at positions 521 to 898 of the family's 1533-position model. The record is from RNAcentral.
UAAUACGGAGGGUGCAAGCGUUAAUCGGAAUUACUGGGCGUAAAGCGCACGCAGGCGGUCUGUCAAGUCGGAUGUGAAAUCCCCGGGCUUAACCUGGGAACUGCAUUCGAAACUGGCAGGCUAGAGUCUUGUAGAGGGGGGUAGAAUUCCAGGUGUAGCGGUGAAAUGCGUAGAGAUCUGGAGGAAUACCGGUGGCGAAGGCGGCCCCCUGGACAAAGACUGACGCUCAGGUGCGAAAGCGUGGGGAGCAAACAGGAUUAGAUACCCUGGUAGUCCACGCCGUAAACGAUGUCGAUUUGGAGGUUGUGCCCUUGAGGCGUGGCUUCCGGAGCUAACGCGUUAAAUCGACCGCCUGGGGAGUACGGCCGCAAGGUUAAA